Molecule: ribosomal RNA, 1418 nt
Filed under: Salmonella enterica subsp. enterica
Lineage: Bacteria; Pseudomonadati; Pseudomonadota; Gammaproteobacteria; Enterobacterales; Enterobacteriaceae
Description: bacterial LSU rRNA
Rfam family: Bacterial large subunit ribosomal RNA
Source: RNAcentral
GUUGGGUAGGGGAGCGUUCUGUAAGCCUGUGAAGGUGUGUCGUGAGGCAUGCUGGAGGUAUCAGAAGUGCGAAUGCUGACAUAAGUAACGAUAAAGCGGGUGAAAAGCCCGCUCGCCGGAAGACCAAGGGUUCCUGUCCAACGUUAAUCGGGGCAGGGUGAGUCGACCCCUAAGGCGAGGCCGAAAGGCGUAGUCGAUGGGAAACGGGUUAAUAUUCCCGUACUUGGUGUUACUGCGAAGGGGGGACGGAGAAGGCUAUGUUGGCCGGGCGACGGUUGUCCCGGUUUAAGCGUGUAGGUGUGUGUUCCAGGUAAAUCCGGUUCACUUUAACACUGAGGCGUGACGACGAGGCACUACGGUGCUGAAGCAACAAAUGCCCUGCUUCCAGGAAAAGCCUCUAAGCAUCAGGUAACAUCAAAUCGUACCCCAAACCGACACAGGUGGUCAGGUAGAGAAUACCAAGGCGCUUGAGAGAACUCGGGUGAAGGAACUAGGCAAAAUGGUGCCGUAACUUCGGGAGAAGGCACGCUGACACGUAGGUGAAGUGAUUUACUCAUGGAGCUGAAGUCAGUCGAAGAUACCAGCUGGCUGCAACUGUUUAUUAAAAACACAGCACUGUGCAAACACGAAAGUGGACGUAUACGGUGUGACGCCUGCCCGGUGCCGGAAGGUUAAUUGAUGGGGUCAGCGCAAGCGAAGCUCCUGAUCGAAGCCCCGGUAAACGGCGGCCGUAACUAUAACGGUCCUAAGGUAGCGAAAUUCCUUGUCGGGUAAGUUCCGACCUGCACGAAUGGCGUAAUGAUGGCCAGGCUGUCUCCACCCGAGACUCAGUGAAAUUGAACUCGCUGUGAAGAUGCAGUGUACCCGCGGCAAGACGGAAAGACCCCGUGAACCUUUACUAUAGCUUGACACUGAACAUUGAGCCUUGAUGUGUAGGAUAGGUGGGAGGCUUUGAAGCGUGGACGCCAGUCUGCAUGGAGCCGACCUUGAAAUACCACCCUUUAAUGUUUGAUGUUCUAACGUGGACCCGUGAUCCGGGUUGCGGACAGUGUCUGGUGGGUAGUUUGACUGGGGCGGUCUCCUCCUAAAGAGUAACGGAGGAGCACGAAGGUUGGCUAAUCCUGGUCGGACAUCAGGAGGUUAGUGCAAUGGCAUAAGCCAGCUUGACUGCGAGCGUGACGGCGCGAGCAGGUGCGAAAGCAGGUCAUAGUGAUCCGGUGGUUCUGAAUGGAAGGGCCAUCGCUCAACGGAUAAAAGGUACUCCGGGGAUAACAGGCUGAUACCGCCCAAGAGUUCAUAUCGACGGCGGUGUUUGGCACCUCGAUGUCGGCUCAUCACAUCCUGGGGCUGAAGUAGGUCCCAAGGGUAUGGCUGUUCGCCAUUUAAAGUGGUACGCGAGCUGGGUUUAGAACGUCGUG